This 1104-nucleotide long non-coding RNA is filed under the name Betta splendens (Siamese fighting fish). Its description in RNAcentral is "lncRNA (ENSBSLG00000018470.1)". Lineage: Eukaryota; Metazoa; Chordata; Actinopteri; Anabantiformes; Osphronemidae. The record is from RNAcentral.
CUCGUGGUCUACUGCCAUUUCCUGGUAAUACAGUACACGUUAUUUACAGUAUAGUCCAGUAUUGUGAGGUAUUGCCUUCUCCACACAGUUGUGUGCGUUUUCUGCAACAUGUCGUGAGAGAAAUGAAAAAGAAGUGAUCCGCCAACCGCGAACUUUACUUUCUAAGCCGCGCUCCUUUACGCACUUUGCGUUGUGACGCACGUUUGACCAACAGUGUCUCCAGUUCGGCGUUGGUGCAGCUGGAGGUGGUGCUUCACAGGCGAGGUAAAACAAGGAUGGAGCGCGUCCUGAUACUUGUGGUGAUGUUAGCGGGAGGAAUUCAUGCUCUUUUUCCAGUGUUGGACACUAACUGCGAUGCUACCCGGGGCACCACCUCGUGCAAUGCUACGUCUGGAGGGUCUGUGUACAUCCAGGUGAUGUCCAACGUUAGUGGCCACAUGGUGCACUGUAAGAUGAACAUGGGGUCCACCAAGGUUUUCACCAUGAAAAAGGAAGCGGUGAAGAUGCACAGGGACAAUGCCGAGUUUUUCAUCAGCAACGGGACGCUGAAGCUCACAAACCUGACCAAGAACGACACGGGCCAAUACAGAUUUGAUAUCUACGAUCACAAUGGGGUCCUCCAGCGAAACACCACGGUUCAUCUGCACGUUCAAGACUCACAGUUCAUGCUGAUCCUCAUACUGGUCAUUGCUUGUGCAACGUUUCUACUGCUGGUGAUUCUGCUAAUUAUCUGCAUUUGUUGUAAGAUGUCAGCAGCGAGAAAGCAAAAACGCACAACUGUAUACUCUUAUUGAGUUCAAACAUCUACCAUGAGGCUGGUGGUUAAUGAAAGUCUCCAGGAACCAGCAGCAACAGGUGCUCAGGUCAAAGGUCAAAGAGAGAUAAAUAGUCAAGUCAUUGUAAACGAAACAUGUCGUCUAAUGCAUUGAGCUGUAUCACUGUGUAUCUGUAUUAACAUUAAUGAGCUUCUGAUACGAACACACUCCGUGUGUUUAAAACUAAAUAUGAAUUAUUGUUCUAUCACCUAAAUAUGUGUGAUAAAGUAAUUGCAUUUUAACUUUUAAUGUAAAUAAAAUGUACAUACUGUAUAAUUUUAUAUGAGGA